RNAcentral lists this transfer RNA (66 nucleotides) under human gut metagenome. It matches the Rfam family "tRNA". From Rfam's summary of the family: Transfer RNA (tRNA) molecules are approximately 80 nucleotides in length. Their secondary structure includes four short double-helical elements and three loops (D, anti-codon, and T loops). Further hydrogen bonds mediate the characteristic L-shaped molecular structure. tRNAs have two regions of fundamental functional importance: the anti-codon, which is responsible for specific mRNA codon recognition, and the 3' end, to which the tRNAs corresponding amino acid is attached (by aminoacyl-tRNA synthetases). tRNAs cope with the degeneracy of the genetic code in two manners: having more than one tRNA (with a specific anti-codon) for a particular amino acid; and 'wobble' base-pairing, i.e. permitting non-standard base-pairing at the 3rd anti-codon position. The record is from RNAcentral.
GGCAUAGCGCAGUUGGUAGCGCGCUUGCUUUGGGAGCAAGAAGUCGUGGGUUCGAAUCCCACUGCC